Molecule: ribosomal RNA, 497 nt
Filed under: uncultured bacterium
Lineage: Bacteria
Description: partial 16S ribosomal RNA
Rfam family: Bacterial small subunit ribosomal RNA
Source: RNAcentral
GAUGAACGCUGGCGGCGUGCCUAAUACAUGCAAGUCGAGCGAACAGACGAGGAGCUUGCUCCUCUGACGUUAGCGGCGGACGGGUGAGUAACACGUGGAUAACCUACCUAUAAGACUGGGAUAACUUCGGGAAACCGGAGCUAAUACCGGAUAAUAUAUUGAACCGCAUGGUUCAAUAGUGAAAGACGGUUUUGCUGUUACUUAUAGAAGGAUCCGCGCCGCAUUAGCUAGUUGGUAAGGUAACGGCUUACCAAGGCAACGAUGCGUAGCCGACCUGAGAGGGUGAUCGGCCACACUGGAACUGAGACACGGUCCAGACUCCUACGGGAGGCAGCAGUAGGGAAUCUUCCGCAAUGGGCGAAAGCCUGACGGAGCAACGCCGCGUGAGUGAUGAAGGUCUUCGGAUCGUAAAACUCUGUUAUUAGGGAAGAACAAAUGUGUAAGUAACUAUGCACGUCUUGACGGUACCUAAUCAGAAAGCCACGGCUAACUACGUG